This 253-nucleotide ribosomal RNA is filed under the name uncultured bacterium. RNAcentral describes it as "partial 16S ribosomal RNA". It matches the Rfam family "Bacterial small subunit ribosomal RNA", at positions 524 to 776 of the family's 1533-position model. The record is from RNAcentral.
UACGGAGGAUCCGAGCGUUAUCCGGAUUUAUUGGGUUUAAAGGGUGCGUAGGCGGUUUGAUAAGUUAGAGGUGAAAUGUCGGGGCUCAACCCCGAAACUGCCUCUAAUACUGUUGGACUGGAGAAUAGUUGCGGUAGGCGGAAUGUAUGGUGUAGCGGUGAAAUGCUUAGAGAUCAUACAGAACACCGAUUGCGAAGGCAGCUUACCAAACUAUAUCUGACGUUGAGGCACGAAAGCGUGGGUAGCAAACAGG